Haliotis rubra (blacklip abalone) is the source of this 472-nucleotide long non-coding RNA. RefSeq lists it as uncharacterized. Lineage: Eukaryota; Metazoa; Mollusca; Gastropoda; Lepetellida; Haliotidae. The record is from RefSeq and is a predicted model, not a curated record. The transcript has 3 exons.
UUUAGACAAAACAGAUACAAACUGGUUAAUUGAUUUAUCUUGUUUAUUAAGUCAUAUUGAACAGAUACUAAAUGUAAUUUCAAUAAAGUUCAAGUCAUGAUACAUGUCGUAACAUGACAGAAGUGCUGCAUUAUGUAUCAAUAUUUGACAGGUGUAUUUUACGGAGCCAAGUUGCUGAUGUGUCAAUAGUGUUUAACAUCAUUGCAAGACAUAGUGAUGAAGAACCUGUGUUACUGUGAUACAAUGUGUAUAUAAUGUUGUAAAUAUUAGGGAAUUCCCUCAAUUUGUAAAUGUACAUAUAUCUGACAGUGCCCUGAUAGUGGGGGAAAUAAAUGUCUUGGACUAUUUCCUUGUUGUUUGCUGUUCAACAAUGUGUAUAUAAUGUUGUAAAUAUUAGUGUAUUCCCUCAAUUUGUAAAUGUGCAUAUAUCUGACAGUGCCCUGAUAGUGGGGGAAAUAAAUGUCUUGGACUA